RNAcentral lists this long non-coding RNA (1008 nucleotides) under Bos grunniens (domestic yak). Its description in RNAcentral is "lncRNA (ENSBGRG00000013798.1)". Lineage: Eukaryota; Metazoa; Chordata; Mammalia; Artiodactyla; Bovidae. The record is from RNAcentral.
AUGCCGCCGCCGGAGGCUGGUGAAGCCAAAGGGACCCGGCGCUGCCGCGCCCCGACCCCUCCCGGGAAGCCUCGCCGGCGACCCCGCGCGCCCACCUGCGGGCGCGGCGCCUCGCGAUCGCAGCCGCCCUCGCCCCUCUCCCCUCCCUCCCCUCCCUGCGGCGCGACCCCCCUGCGCGCAGCCCUGCCCUCCGCGAGCCCCCCGGGGAUGGCGAGCCGGGGGGCGCCGGGACGCCCCCGCGGCGCCCGCGCCGGGCCAGGACUCACUGCGGGGCGCUGCCAGCGGCUCCCAGCGCCGGUCGCUCCUCCUGCGCGGCGCCGCGGGCUCGGCUCCACCUCCCGCUCCGGCGGCCGCCGAGCCUCCGGGGACCCGCGGGCGGGGAGCGCAGGGCCGCCGCCAAGCCCGGAGCCGGGGCUGGGGCUGGCGGGGCGGCGAGCCACGGGCGGGGCGUGGGGCGCGCCGGCCCGAGCGGGUCCCCGCGCGCCGGGCGAGCCUGAGACCACCCCGCAGGUGGCGGAUCCGCGCGCGCCCGAGGCCCGAGAAGUUGCGGGAGGGGCGAGGACGAGGCGGCAGCCGGGCUCCGGCCGAGAGAGAGAGGGUCGGUAUCUCCUCGGCGAGGGUGGUCCUUCCUCUUUCCGGACCCCCUCCCUCCCAACGGUCUGGCCCCUCGCGGCUCUGGGCGGCCCUCUCAGCCCUGGGCCGACUCACUCACCAAAACUUUGCAGACGGCGCUGGGGAGAAUUAAUCCCGGAGUCGCCGUCUACGCGGCCCUGGGGGGUUAGGACGCCCGCCGGGGAGAGACCGUGUACUCGCCGCGCGCGAAGGUCGGAAAGCGGUGAGCCCCGAGCCCCGCCGCUGCGGGGAGUGAGGUCUGCAGGGACCCCUGACGGCCGCUGGGGGGCCGCGGAGGGAAGUGGCGGGGCGGAGUGGAAAGCAGGCAGGAGAGUGUUGAGAACGCCCCCGACGCACACACAUGCCUUCGGGGCCACGGGUGCCCAGCACUUGUAG